AUUGAACGCUGGCGGCAGGCCUAACACAUGCAAGUCGAGCGGAGCGGCGGACGGGCGAGUAAUGCCUAGGAAUCUGCCUGGUAGUGGGGGAGAACUUCCGGAAACGGGCGCUAAUACCGCAUACUAUCAGAUGAGUCUAGGUCGGGUUAGCUAGUUGGUGGGGUAAAGGCCUACCAAGGCGACGAUCCGUAACUGGGCUGAGAGGCUGAUCAGUCACACUGGAACUGAGACACGGUCCAGCCUCCUACGGGAGGCAGCAUUGGUGAAUAUUGGACAAUGGGCGAAAGCCUGAUCCAGCCAUGCCGCGUGUGUGAAGAAGGUCUUCGGAUUGUAAAGCACUUUGAGUUGGGAGGCGUUACCAACAGAAUAAACACCGGCUAACUUCGUGCCAGCAGCCGCGGUAAUUC
This 407-nucleotide ribosomal RNA is filed under the name uncultured bacterium. RNAcentral describes it as "partial 16S ribosomal RNA". It matches the Rfam family "Bacterial small subunit ribosomal RNA", at positions 30 to 526 of the family's 1533-position model. The record is from RNAcentral.